CAUAUAUGGAAUGAAUCACCAGCGGAAGUGAUAGGUGCAGGUGCAGUUGCAACAUUAGAAGUAGUACCACAAAGUUUACUAAUUUGGUUCCAGGAUGAGAGUAUUCUUUGAAGUUCUGAAGACAGAGAAGUGAUAUCAUUGAUACAAACUGGAGUUCACAGGAACUCGACAGGGUAGACGCUGAGCUAUUUUCUCUAAUUGGGUAAAUGUCGAAAAUGGAAUCUAGACUUAGAACAAGGGAAUGAUUAUGUAGGACUAAAAUAAGGAGAAAUUUCUUCACUCAAAAUGUUGCAAAUCUUUGGAAUUUCCUGUGCUAGAUGAUUAUGGAUACUUGGUUAAUGAAUUAUAUUCAAGCAUGAGGUAGACAUAUGAUUUGCUCUUUCAGGGAAUCAGGAGAUAUGGGGACUGAAUGUAAAAGUGAAAGUGACACCGAAGAUCAGUCAUUAACAUAUUGAAUGGUGGAGCAAGCACCAUUUCGUGUGUUGAUAAAUUCCCAUAGAAAAUCUGUCAGCAUGUGCAACUGUGUUGAACAGCUUGGGCUAUUCAUUCACCACAAACCCCUUGCAUUUUAAAUAUUUCUCAACUGUAGGUGUGUUUCAAAACUUAUUGGUGGGCUUAUAUUACUGUAAUUUGUGUGUUUGCAAGAGAUGAAGCAGUUAAUGUGGUGCAUUAAUACUAUGUGGUAAGGAGGUUUGAACAGAUCAGCAGCAAUUUUUGGUUAGUUUGCUUUGAGUUAUAGUACUGUUUGGUAUCUAUGAGAUGAUUGGUCAAUGGAGCAUACUCCUUGAUGGGGAAGCUGUUUUUCUAGCCCGGGAAUCAGAAGAAUUGGAACAAAUAUGGAACUUGUCAUUCUUUUGUCAUAGCAGGGAUGCUAUCAGAAUCCAGACUUCCUUUACAAAGGCACAUUCUAGAAGGAGAUGAAUGACAGUCUCCAUACCAACCCCUGCUUUGAGGGCAGCAUGUGGUGGUACAAAUUGACUUGGUGUACAAGAAGGAUCCCAAAGGCUCUCAGGAAUGCUACGUGCUGACCACUUCCUGAUGGACUGAUGGUGGUUUUGUUUAAACAUUUCUCCAUGAAGGACAGAUGAUAAAUGGAACAGUCGAGCUGCUUGGAGUGUUCUGUGGCAACGAGGCCAGUCCAACCCUUCACAACAGCCAGGAUAGGUGGAUCCUCAGUACAUAGCGACACUUGGUCUUUGUGUGCUAAAGGUCUAUGCACAGCUUGAUGCAGCU
Chiloscyllium plagiosum (whitespotted bambooshark) is the source of this 1233-nucleotide non-coding RNA. Lineage: Eukaryota; Metazoa; Chordata; Chondrichthyes; Orectolobiformes; Hemiscylliidae. The record is from RefSeq and is a predicted model, not a curated record.